Molecule: non-coding RNA, 542 nt
Organism: Macaca mulatta (Rhesus monkey)
Lineage: Eukaryota; Metazoa; Chordata; Mammalia; Primates; Cercopithecidae
Source: RefSeq, a predicted model, not a curated record
UUCUACCUUGUGGAUCAGAGCAUACCGAAUUUAACUUUUUAAUGAGUACUCAGGGUUAUUGUUAUGAGCAUAAAGUAUAGGACUGUAUUACUACCACCGAGGGUGGCAGUACACUGGUAUCAGAGGAAUCCAGGCUUUCCUAAUUUUUGAUUUUCCAUUGUUAUUCUGUUUUAGAAAUAUCUGGAAAAAAAAAAGUGCUAAUAAUGGCCUUGUGUAUGUUUUUCAUGUUUACUGAAGAGUCUUCAGGCAAGAAAUCUUCUUGACAGAGACACAUUUUCUAAAUCUGAUCCAAUUUGUGUCUUAUAUGUACAAGGAGUUGGAAAUAAAGAAUGGAGAGAGUUUGGAAGAACUGAAGUAAUUGAUAAUACUUUAAAUCCUGAUUUUGUAAGAAAGUUUAUUCUGGACUACUUUUUUGAAGAAAGAGAAAAUCUUCGUUUUGACUUGUAUGAUGUUGAUUCAAAGAGCCCCAACUUAUCCAAACAUGUAAGUUCAUAUUUUUAUGUUUUUUUAACAUUAUAAUAUAAUGAUUAGUACUUAUGCUG